GACGAACGCUGGCGGCGUGCUUAACACAUGCAAGUCGAACGGAAAGGCCCUGCUUUUGUGGGGUGCUCGAGUGGCGAACGGGUGAGUAACACGUGAGUAACCUGCCCUUGACUUUGGGAUAACUUCAGGAAACUGGGGCUAAUACCGGAUAGGAGCUCCUGCUGCAUGGUGGGGGUUGGAAAGUUUCGGCGGUUGGGGAUGGACUCGCGGCCUAUCAGCUUGUUGGUGGGGUAGUGGCUUACCAAGGCUUUGACGGGUAGCCGGCCUGUGAGGGUGACCGGCCACAUUGGGACUGAGAUACGGCCCAGACUCCUACGGGAGGCAGCAGUGGGGAAUAUUGCACAAUGGGCGGAAGCCUGAUGCAGCAACGCCGCGUGCGGGAUGACGGCCUUCGGGUUGUAAACCGCUUUCGCCUGUGACGAAGCGUGAGUGACGGUAAUGGGUAAAGAAGCACCGGCUAACUACGUG
This 468-nucleotide ribosomal RNA is filed under the name uncultured bacterium. RNAcentral describes it as "partial 16S ribosomal RNA". It matches the Rfam family "Bacterial small subunit ribosomal RNA", at positions 28 to 507 of the family's 1533-position model. The record is from RNAcentral.